RNAcentral lists this ribosomal RNA (468 nucleotides) under uncultured bacterium. RNAcentral's name for it is "partial 16S ribosomal RNA". It matches the Rfam family "Bacterial small subunit ribosomal RNA", at positions 28 to 507 of the family's 1533-position model. The record is from RNAcentral.
GACGAACGCUGGCGGCGUGCUUAACACAUGCAAGUCGAACGGAAAGGCCCUGCUUGCGUGGGGUGCUAGAGUGGCGAACGGGUGAGUAACACGUGAGUAACCUGCCCUUGACUUUGGGAUAACUUCAGGAAACUGGGGCUAAUACCGGAUAGGAGCUCGUGCUGCAUGGUGGGGGUUGGAAAGUUUGGGCGGUUAGGGAUGGACUCGCGGCUUAUCAGCUUGUUGGUUGGGUAGUGGCUUACCAAGGCUUUGACGGGUAGCCGGCCUGAGAGGGUGACCGGCCACAUUGGGACUGAGAUACGGCCCAGACUCCUACGGGAGGCAGCAGUGGGGAAUAUUGCACAAUGGGCGGAAGCCUGAUGCAGCAACGCCGCGUGCGGGAUGACGGCCUUCGGGUUGUAAACCGCUUUCGCCUGUGACGAAGCGUGAGUGACGGUAAUGAGUAAAGAAGCACCGGCUAACUACGUG